Long non-coding RNA from Thalassophryne amazonica, 212 nucleotides. RefSeq lists it as uncharacterized. Lineage: Eukaryota; Metazoa; Chordata; Actinopteri; Batrachoidiformes; Batrachoididae. The transcript is spliced from 3 exons. The record is from RefSeq and is a predicted model, not a curated record.
AUCAUUAAUAUAUAAAAUAAACAACAAGGGACCAAGCACAGAGCCCUGCGGCACUCCACAAGUAAUUUCCCGAAGUACAGAGUCAGUGUUAUUGAACUGAACAUAUUGAAAUCUUCCCUGUAAAUAACUUAUCCAGUCAUAUGCAAGACCUCUGAUCCCAUAUUUUUGUGAUUUAGUUAGUAAUAUUGCAUGAUUCAUCGUACCCAUCAAAA